AGCGAACGUUAGCGGCGCGCCUAACACAUGCAAGUCGAACGGGCUAGCAAUAGUCAGUGGCGCACGGGUGCGUAACACGUGGGUAAUCAACCCUUCAGCUCGGGAUAACGCCUUGAAAGGGGCGCUAAUACCGGAUACGACGCGAGGAGCUUCGGCUGCUUGCGGGAAAGAUUCGCAAGGAUCUCUGAAGGACGAGCCUGCGGCCCAUCAGCUAGUUGGUGAGGUAAGAGCUCACCAAGGCGAAGACGGGUAGCUGGUCUGAGAGGAUGAUCAGCCACACUGGAACUGAGACACGGUCCAGACUCCUACGGGAGGCAGCAGUGGGGAAUCUUAGACAAUGGGCGCAAGCCUGAUCUAGCCAUGCCGCGUGAGCGAUGAAGGCCUCGGUCGUAAGACUCUGUGGGAGGAGACGAAGAAAGACC
RNAcentral lists this ribosomal RNA (422 nucleotides) under uncultured bacterium. Its description in RNAcentral is "bacterial SSU rRNA". It matches the Rfam family "Bacterial small subunit ribosomal RNA", at positions 29 to 457 of the family's 1533-position model. The record is from RNAcentral.